This 149-nucleotide unclassified non-coding RNA is filed under the name uncultured Friedmanniomyces. Its description in RNAcentral is "sequence contains ITS1". Lineage: Eukaryota; Fungi; Ascomycota; Dothideomycetes; Mycosphaerellales; Teratosphaeriaceae. The record is from RNAcentral.
CCGAGUGAGGGCCUUCCAGGCCCGACCUCCCAACCCCAUGUUAUCCGACACUGUUGCCUCGGGGGCGACCCGGCUCUUCUGGCGUCGGGGCCCCCGGUGGAUUGUCAAACGCUGCAUCUGUGCGUCUGAGUCAGAUGAUGAAUCAAUCA